This 141-nucleotide unclassified non-coding RNA is filed under the name uncultured Dothideomycetes. RNAcentral describes it as "sequence contains ITS2". Lineage: Eukaryota; Fungi; Ascomycota; Dothideomycetes. The record is from RNAcentral.
CAACCCUCAAGCCCUGCUUGGUGAUGGGUCCCGCCCGCGCGGCGGGCCCGAAACUCGUGGGCGUCGUCGUUCGGCUCCAAGCGUAGCAAAACCCUCGCUUGGGCUGUCGGACCGGUGACUGCCUGGAACGAAUUUUUCUAA